RNAcentral lists this ribosomal RNA (817 nucleotides) under Pythium periplocum. RNAcentral describes it as "eukaryotic LSU rRNA". The stretch from base 194 to 348 matches the Rfam family "5.8S ribosomal RNA". Lineage: Eukaryota; Oomycota; Peronosporomycetes; Pythiales; Pythiaceae. The record is from RNAcentral.
CCACACCUAAAAAACUUUCCACGUGAACCGUUAUAACUAUGUUCUGUGCUUCGUCUUCUUGUAAGAUUUGAGGCUGAACGAAGGUGAGUCUGCGUCUAUUUUGGAUGCGGAUUUGCUGAUGUUAUUUUAAACACCUAUUACUUAAUACUGAACUAUACUCCGAAUACGAAAGUUUUUGGUUUUAACAAUUAACAACUUUCAGCAGUGGAUGUCUAGGCUCGCACAUCGAUGAAGAACGCUGCGAACUGCGAUACGUAAUGCGAAUUGCAGAAUUCAGUGAGUCAUCGAAAUUUUGAACGCAUAUUGCACUUUCGGGUUAUGCCUGGAAGUAUGCCUGUAUCAGUGUCCGUACAUCAAACUUGUCUUUCUUUUUUUGUGUAGUCAAAAUUAGAGAUGGCAGAAUGUGAGGUGUCUCGCGUUGUCUUUUUUAAGAUGGUUCGAGUCCCUUUAAAUGUACGUUGAUUCUUUCUUGUGUCUGCGAAUUGCGACGCUAUGCUCUUUGUGAUCGGUUUAGAUUGCUUUGCGCUGGUGGGCGACUUCGGUUAGGACAUAUGGAAGCAACCUCAAUUGGCGGUAUGUUCGGCUUUGCCUGACGUUAAGCUAAGCGAGUGUGGUUUUCUGUCUUUUCCUUGAGGUGUACCUAUUGUGUGUGAGGUUGAUGUAGACUAUAUGGUUGCUUGGUUGUGUGGUUUAGCGUUUUCAGACGCCUGCUUCGGUAGGUAAAGGAGACAACACCAAUUUGGGACUGAGAGUUAUUUUGUUUCUCUCUUUUUCACUUUGGACCUGAUAUCAGGUAAGACUACCCGCUGAACUUAAG